This 249-nucleotide ribosomal RNA is filed under the name uncultured bacterium. Its description in RNAcentral is "partial 16S ribosomal RNA". It matches the Rfam family "Bacterial small subunit ribosomal RNA", at positions 524 to 771 of the family's 1533-position model. The record is from RNAcentral.
UACGAAGGGUGCAAGCGUUAAUCGGAAUUACUGGGCGUAAAGCGUGCGUAGGCGGUUUGUUAAGUCUGCUGUGAAAUCCCCGGGCUCAACCUGGGGAAUGGCAGUGGAUACUGGCAAGCUAGAGUGUGUCAGAGGAUGGUGGAAUUCCCGGUGUAGCGGUGAAAUGCGUAGAGAUCGGGAGGAACAUCAGUGGCGAAGGCGGCCAUCUGGGACAACACUGACGCUGAGGCACGAAAGCGUGGGGAGCAA